This 124-nucleotide small RNA is filed under the name Geminocystis sp. RNAcentral describes it as "Guanidine-I sequence". It matches the Rfam family "Guanidine-I riboswitch aptamer". From Rfam's summary of the family: This family represents a conserved RNA structure found upstream of the ykkC and yxkD genes in Bacillus subtilis and related genes in other bacteria. The function of this family is unclear although it has been suggested that it may function to switch on efflux pumps and detoxification systems in response to harmful environmental molecules. Nelson showed that this riboswitch senses and responds to guanidine and it was renamed Guanidine-I riboswitch. The record is from RNAcentral. Lineage: Bacteria; Bacillati; Cyanobacteriota; Cyanophyceae; Chroococcales; Geminocystaceae.
AAAGAAGGUUUCUAGGGUUCCGAUGCUAAGACAUGGCUGGUCCGAGAGAAACGAGCUACUAAAAAGAUUUUUAGAAAAGACAACGAUAAAAGUAGCUACACGGAGGGAGAAAAGCCCGGGAGGA